Molecule: ribosomal RNA, 850 nt
Filed under: endophytic bacterium
Lineage: Bacteria
Description: bacterial SSU rRNA
Rfam family: Bacterial small subunit ribosomal RNA
Source: RNAcentral
GAGCGGAUGAAGAGAGCUUGCUCUCUGAUUCAGCGGCGGACGGGUGAGUAAUGCCUAGGAAUCUGCCUGGUAGUGGGGGACAACGUCUCGAAAGGGACGCUAAUACCGCAUACGUCCUACGGGAGAAAGCAGGGGACCUUCGGGCCUUGCGCUAUCAGAUGAGCCUAGGUCGGAUUAGCUAGUUGGUGAGGUAAUGGCUCACCAAGGCGACGAUCCGUAACUGGUCUGAGAGGAUGAUCAGUCACACUGGAACUGAGACACGGUCCAGACUCCUACGGGAGGCAGCAGUGGGGAAUAUUGGACAAUGGGCGAAAGCCUGAUCCAGCCAUGCCGCGUGUGUGAAGAAGGUCUUCGGAUUGUAAAGCACUUUAAGUUGGGAGGAAGGGCAGUAAGCGAAUACCUUGCUGUUUUGACGUUACCGACAGAAUAAGCACCGGCUAACUCUGUGCCAGCAGCCGCGGUAAUACAGAGGGUGCAAGCGUUAAUCGGAAUUACUGGGCGUAAAGCGCGCGUAGGUGGUUUGUUAAGUUGAAUGUGAAAUCCCCGGGCUCAACCUGGGAACUGCAUCCAAAACUGGCAAGCUAGAGUAGGGCAGAGGGUGGUGGAAUUUCCUGUGUAGCGGUGAAAUGCGUAGAUAUAGGAAGGAACACCAGUGGCGAAGGCGACCACCUGGGCUCAUACUGACACUGAGGUGCAAAAGCGUGGGGAGCAAACCCGAUUAGAUACCCUGGCAGUCCACGCCCAAAACGAUGUCAACUAUCCGUUGGAGGCCUUGAGCUUUUAGUGGCGCUCCCAGCCGCUUAAGUUUACCGCCUGGGGCAGUACGGGCCGCUAGGGUUAAACUUAAAAU